AUUGAACGCUGGCGGCAUGCCUUACACAUGCAAGUCGAACGGCAGCACGGGAGCAAUCCUGGUGGCGAGUGGCGAACGGGUGAGUAAAGUAUCGGAACGUGCCCAGUCGUGGGGGAUAACGUAGCGAAAGUUACGCUAAUACCGCAUACGAUCUAUGGAUGAAAGCGGGGGAUCGCAAGACCUCGCGCGAUUGGAGCGGCCGACAUCAGAUUAGGUAGUUGGUGGGGUAAAGGCUCACCAAGCCGACGAUCUGUAGCUGGUCUGAGAGGACGACCAGCCACACUGGGACUGAGACACGGCCCAGACUCCUACGGGAGGCGGCAGUGGGGAGUUUUGGACAAUGGGCGAAAGCCUGAUCCAGCCAUGCCGCGUGCAGGAUGAAGGCCUUCGGGUUGUAAACUGCUUUUGUACGGAACGAAAAGGUUUGGCCUAAUAAGCUGAGCUCAUGACGGUACCGUAAGAAUAAGCACCGGCUAACUCCGUGCCAGCCGCCGCCGUAA
This 500-nucleotide ribosomal RNA is filed under the name uncultured bacterium. RNAcentral's name for it is "partial 16S ribosomal RNA". It matches the Rfam family "Bacterial small subunit ribosomal RNA", at positions 30 to 523 of the family's 1533-position model. The record is from RNAcentral.